UAGAGGAAGUAAAAGUCGUAACAAGGUUUCCGUAGGUGAACCUGCGGAAGGAUCAUUAAAAGUAUAUAGUUAUACAUUCUGUGUAUCGACUAAAUAUACCCAUUCUGAGUACCUUGCCUGUUGCUUCCAUGGAGCCUGACACAUGUCACUCUGGGGAUUUACAUCCCGAGGGAGCCUCCGUGGAAGGUAAUCAAUUAACUCUUGAAUCCAAUGUCAUCUGUCUGAUAAUGUUUAUAACAAAUGUUAAAACUUUCAACAACGGAUCUCUUGGUUCUCGCAUCGAUGAAGAACGCAGCGAAAUGCGAUAAGUAGUGUGAAUUGCAGAAUUCAGUGAAUCAUCGAAUCUUUGAACGCACAUUGCGCCUCCUGGUAUUCCGGGAGGCAUGCCUGUUCGAGCGUCAUUAAAUACCACUCAAGCUCUUCUGCUUGGUCAUGGAAGAAGAGAAUGCUUGCAUCCUCUCUUCUGAAAUCGAACGGCGGACUGCCUCAUGUGCCUCGCGUAGUAAGUUCAUCUUUUCGCUUGGAGUGUGAGAUAGUCUCGCCAUCAACCCCCAUACUUCUAAGGUUGACCUCGGAUCAGGUAGGGAUACCCGCUGAACUUAAGCAUAUCA
Molecule: ribosomal RNA, 611 nt
Filed under: uncultured Wilcoxina
Lineage: Eukaryota; Fungi; Ascomycota; Pezizomycetes; Pezizales; Pyronemataceae
Description: eukaryotic LSU rRNA
Rfam family: 5.8S ribosomal RNA (bases 248-401)
Source: RNAcentral